Molecule: unclassified non-coding RNA, 348 nt
Filed under: soil metagenome
Description: partial contains 5.8S ribosomal RNA, internal transcribed spacer 2, and large subunit ribosomal RNA
Rfam family: 5.8S ribosomal RNA (bases 1-120)
Source: RNAcentral
GAUGAAGAACGUAGCGAAAUGCGAUAAGUAAUGUGAAUUGCAGAAUUCAGUGAAUCAUCGAAUCUUUGAACGCACAUUGCGCCCGCUGGUAUUCCGGCGGGCAUGCCUGUUCGAGCGUCAUUUCAACCCUCAAGCCCCCGGGUUUGGUGUUGGGGAUCGGCUCUGCCCUUCUGGGCGGUGCCGCCCCCGAAAUACAUUGGCGGUCUCGCUGCAGCCUCCAUUGCGUAGUAGCUAACACCUCGCAACUGGAACGCGGCGCGGCCAUGCCGUAAAACCCCAUCUUCUGAAUGUUGACCUCGGAUCAGGUAGGAAUACCCGCUGAACUUAAGCAUAUCAAUAAGCGGAGGA